RNAcentral lists this ribosomal RNA (492 nucleotides) under uncultured bacterium. RNAcentral describes it as "partial 16S ribosomal RNA". It matches the Rfam family "Bacterial small subunit ribosomal RNA", at positions 29 to 507 of the family's 1533-position model. The record is from RNAcentral.
AGUGAACGCUGGCGGUAGGCCUAACACAUGCAAGUCGAACGGCAGCACAGUAAGAGCUUGCUCUUACGGGUGGCGAGUGGCGGACGGGGGAGGAAUACAUCGCAAUCUACUUUUUCGUGGGGGAUAACGUAGGGAAACUUACGCUAAUACCGCAUACGACCUACGGGUUAAAGCAGGGGAUCUUCGGACCUUGGGCGAUUGGAUGAGCCGAUGUCGGAUUAGCUAGUUGGCGGGGUAAAGGCCCACCAAGGCGACGGUCCGUAGCUGGACUGAGAGGAUGAGCAGCCACACUGGAACUGAGACACGGUCCAGACUCCUACGGGAGGCAGCAGUGGGGAAUAUUGGACAAUGGGCGCAAGCCUGAUCCAGCCAGACCGCGUGGGUGAAGAAGGCCUUCGGUUUGUAAAGCCCUUUUGUUGGGAAAGAAAAGCAGUAGGUGAAUACCCCGCUGUUCUGACGGUACCCAAAGAAUAAGCACCGGCUAACUUCGUG